This 470-nucleotide ribosomal RNA is filed under the name uncultured Syntrophorhabdaceae bacterium. RNAcentral's name for it is "bacterial SSU rRNA". It matches the Rfam family "Bacterial small subunit ribosomal RNA", at positions 336 to 797 of the family's 1533-position model. Lineage: Bacteria; Pseudomonadati; Thermodesulfobacteriota; Syntrophorhabdia; Syntrophorhabdales; Syntrophorhabdaceae. The record is from RNAcentral.
UUCCUACGGGGGGCAGCAGUGGGGAAUAUUGGGCAAUGGGCGAAAGCCUGACCCAGCGACGCCGCGUGGGCGAUGAAGGCCUUCGGGUCGUAAAGCCCUGUCAUGCGGAAAGAAUAGUUUCGCGGUAAAUAAUCGCGAGACCUGACGGUACCGCAGGAGGAAGCACCGGCUAACUCCGUGCCAGCAGCCGCGGUAAUACGGAGGGUGCAAGCGUUGUUCGGAAUGAUUGGGCGUAAAGGGCGCGUAGGCGGUUAUGUAAGUCAGUUGGUAAAUACUUUGGCUCAGCUGAAGAACUGCAUCUGAUACUGCAUAACUAGAGUACGGGAGAGGGAAACGGAAUUCCCGGUGUAGAGGUGAAAUUCGUAGAUAUCGGGAGGAACACCAGUGGCGAAGGCGGUUUCCUGGCCUGGUACUGACGCUGAGGCGCGAAAGCGUGGGGAGCAAACAGGAUUAGAUACCCUGGUAGUCAG